This 425-nucleotide ribosomal RNA is filed under the name uncultured bacterium. RNAcentral's name for it is "partial 16S ribosomal RNA". It matches the Rfam family "Bacterial small subunit ribosomal RNA", at positions 354 to 796 of the family's 1533-position model. The record is from RNAcentral.
GUGGGGAAUCUUGCGCAAUGGGCGAAAGCCUGACGCAGCCAUGCCGCGUGAAUGAUGAAGGUCUUAGGAUUGUAAAAUUCUUUCACCGGGGACGAUAAUGACGGUACCCGGAGAAGAAGCCCCGGCUAACUUCGUGCCAGCAGCCGCGGUAAUACGAAGGGGGCUAGCGUUGCUCGGAAUUACUGGGCGUAAAGGGCGCGUAGGCGGACAGUUUAGUCAGAGGUGAAAGCCCAGGGCUCAACCUUGGAAUUGCCUUUGAUACUGGCUGUCUUGAGUACGGGAGAGGUGAGUGGAACUCCGAGUGUAGAGGUGAAAUUCGUAGAUAUUCGGAAGAACACCAGAGGCGAAGGCGACUCACUGGCCCGAUACUGACGCUGAGGCGCGAAAGCGUGGGGAGCAAACAGGAUUAGAAACCCCGGUAGUCC